AGCUCCAAUAGCGUAUAAUAAAGUUGUUGCAGUUAAAAAUCUCGUAGUUGGAUUUCUGGCAGGAGCGACCCGGCACACACUCUGUGUGUGAACUUGUGUCGUCUAUGGCCAUCCUUGGGAAGAUCCUGUUUGGCAUUAAGUUGUUGGGCAGGGGAUAUCCAUCGUUUACUGUGAAAAAUUAGAGGGUUUAAAGCAGGAUUAUGCCGUUGAAUAUAUUAGCAUGGAAAAAUAAGAUAGGACUUCAGAACUAUGUUGUUGGUUUGCGUUACAAAGUAAUGAUUAAUAGGGACAGUUGGGGGUAUCCAAAUAUUGUUGUCAGAGGUGAAAUUCUUGAAUUUCCAAAAGAAAAACUACUGCAAAAGCAUUUACCAAGGAUAUUUUCA
This 383-nucleotide ribosomal RNA is filed under the name uncultured eukaryote. RNAcentral describes it as "SSU rRNA". It matches the Rfam family "Eukaryotic small subunit ribosomal RNA", at positions 587 to 972 of the family's 1831-position model. The record is from RNAcentral.